CCAAGAAGGAAAAAAAAAAAGAGAAAUGUAAACAUAAAAUAUACCUUCCGAAUGAAGUGGGGUCCACCCUCACUGUGAAGCUUAUCCGCCUCAUAGAUCGUUGCAUGUAAAGUCCCGUGCAGCAAUAUCUGUGCCAUCUCUCACCUGUAGCCAAAACACAAACGGUGAAAUGGUGAAUUAAAUGUAUAUAUUGCAAACACUCGUGCCUGUGGCUUGUAUUUGAGCCUGUUAAAAUGACUGCCUAUGCAGAAGAGAUCAACGAGAACAUCAUUCUGUUUCUUUGCUGGUUCUCGGCAAGCAAUCCAAUCACCACA
This 314-nucleotide unclassified non-coding RNA is filed under the name Hevea brasiliensis (rubber tree). The record is from RNAcentral. Lineage: Eukaryota; Viridiplantae; Streptophyta; Magnoliopsida; Malpighiales; Euphorbiaceae.